CCCUUAGAUGUUCGGGGCCGCACGCGCGCUACACUGAAGGACUCAGCGUGUCUCUCCCCCUAUCCCGAAAGGGAUGGGCAACCCGUUGAACCUCCUUCGUGCUAGGGAUUGGGGUUUGCAAUUAUCCCCCAUGAACGAGGAAUUCCCAGUAAGCGCGAGUCAUCAGCUCGCGUUGAUUACGUCCCUGCCCUUUGUACACACCGCCCGUCGCUACUACCGAUUGGAUGGUUUAGUGAGACCCUCGGAUCGGUCCCGACUCGGGGUGGGCAACUUCCGUGCCAUGGCGCCGAGAAGACGAUCGAACUUGAUCAUCUAGAGGAAGUAAAAGUCGUAACA
RNAcentral lists this ribosomal RNA (336 nucleotides) under uncultured eukaryote. RNAcentral's name for it is "partial 18S ribosomal RNA". It matches the Rfam family "Eukaryotic small subunit ribosomal RNA", at positions 1470 to 1796 of the family's 1831-position model. The record is from RNAcentral.